Long non-coding RNA from Solea solea (common sole), 1585 nucleotides. RefSeq lists it as uncharacterized. The record is from RefSeq and is a predicted model, not a curated record. The transcript is spliced from 4 exons. Lineage: Eukaryota; Metazoa; Chordata; Actinopteri; Pleuronectiformes; Soleidae.
CGGGGUUGGAUAAGCAGAAGGUAGAGAGACGAAAAAAAGAGGAGAGCGCGGUUGGUCUAGAAGCCACGUAAUGAAGUGGUAACGAAGCUGUUAAUUGUUGAAGAGUUUUAAGAAACACGAGAAGUUUAAUUGUGAAUAAGUUAUGGAGUGUGAGUGAAGUGAGUCUGAGCCAAGUUGAAGUCCACGGGGAGUUGCUGACGCCAGGAGGACGCUAUCGCUAAGCUAAGUAAGCUAACAUGGAGCGCUGUCAUAGUGUGAGGGAGGACGGUUGGAGUUUUCUGGAUGGGGACAUCGCCUUCGUUGUUCUUUCGUUAUCAUCGUUUGGAUUACCUGCCGUUGGGAUGGGACCGAGACUGAAACCGCCACUUGCUUUCACCUUCAUGGUCUGAUAUGAUCCAUGGUCCUCCCCACCCUGGGAUUGUGGGUGUUAGAGGGAGAGCAAGACAAGUCGGGAUGUUCACUUUCAAGUCCUACUGUGUGACCAAUCAUCUAACCUGUCAACAGAAGGAGUAUACGGCGUGCCUCCUAUACCACCUGGAAAACUGUCUCCCUGUUCUGAAAGUCAAAACCCUGCAGUAAUAAUAUUCUGAUGGCGAGCCAGAGCCCGGGCCCGAGGAAUGUGGAGCAGAAAACCAGCUUACAUUCGUGGAGGGUAUGACGUCGGAAGCAGCUUCAUCGAGCAUCUGGAGAAAGCACAUCUAUCACAUCAUACAGAUAAGAAACAAAAUCACACUACCCGGGUAGAUGAACAACCAUACAUUGAAGGACUAAUACACACACACACACACACACACUGAUUUCGGACAAACUGUGGACACUGACUUAUGGUUGACUUUAUUUCUUGACUUUAUUGGACUUUGCUUGUUUAUUACUUUGGGCCUGUUUCUUCUAUUUUAAUUGCACUUUGAACAACAUUCAUAUUGUAAAAUUGUUUGUUGUUGUUUACAACUGAGGUUGUUUAUUGGUGAAUUCUAAAUUGAUAACUGUUUUUUGAUAUAUAAAGAAAUAUAAAUUCAGUCAUAGCUGAACUAUUUAAUUUGUUGCAAUGGAAGAGUGGCUUCCUGCCAGUAAAGAAUAUUUUUGUUACUCUUUUUUCUAACUGUUGUCCAUGUGCAAUAGACAGUGUUACAUCCGUUACAUUUAGAAAAAAAAAAAACACAUUUCAUGUUAUUAGAUAUUUCAUAUGAUUUACUAUAUGGUGCUGAAGCUGGAGUAAAAAGGCAUUAUACAUUAAAAGCCUCUUGACCUUCCUGCAGGGACAGUUUUGCUCGAUGGCCAUUUUAUAAGGUACACCUGCUCAACUACUUUGCAAAUGUCUAAUCGGCUAUUGGCACAGUAGCAAUCCAGUGCAAAACAGGCCAUUACAUAAGCUAUGUUUUCAUGUGCAAAGGUUCUUCAUUCUGUAAAGAUUUGUUCCAAUUGGAAUUUAAAAUUCCAUCGUUUACAUGUUGCAAAAUUAAAUGAUCCGAUUGCAGUUGGGUACACGUGCAUCAACUGUCGGAAUGGACUGUUUUUUACAUGGGCUGUCAUUAUUCUUUUUUGGAAUGGAAAUAAAGCAGUAAGAAAAUGAAAUGUUAUGUCACGU